Non-coding RNA from Meleagris gallopavo (turkey), 648 nucleotides. The record is from RefSeq and is a predicted model, not a curated record. NCBI's taxonomy places the organism in Eukaryota, Metazoa, Chordata, Aves, Galliformes, Phasianidae.
AAACAAGAGUGUUCAUUUUGCUUCAUAUGCAUCCUUAAGCAUGCACAAGGAGUGUUAUUUGUUUUGUAUAAUGUAUUGCUAGCAAACAUCCCAGCCUACAUAAAAUAUUCCUUUGGAAAAUCUUGCAAUAAAAAUAUUCCUAACUCUUUUGUUUCAGCAGGAAUACAGAGACAGAGCUCAUAAAAGUGGAGGCAAGAGAGCAGUACCUUUGGAGUUGGAUUCUUUGAGGCAGAUUGAAUAAAUGCUCAGAAGUGAGACAGAAAGAAACCAAAGGGAAUGUAUCCCUUUCUAAACUUUUUCAAAUGGCUUCACAGUGAUGGAAAGGGCCCUGCUUGGUCACUACCUUGGCUCCCACCAGCUAAUGAAACUGCAAAGCAGAAGCAGCUAUUGGCAUGAAAGAUUACAGACCAGCUACUAUAAUUCCAGCUACUGUAACAGAAGCUUCCAGUAAGAAAUGGACUCUAGAAGUUCAAAUGGGUGUAAGUGACCAGACAUGUUCAUCUGCAACAUCCAUAUUAAGAGAGGCUUCAAGAGAGUAGAAGCACUUUUUCCAGGAGUGACCUAGUAUUCUUCAAGUGUUCUGGAACGAACUGAAUUGAUCUUUCUGUAAACAGAUGUAUGAAAAAUAAAACCAGAAUGUUUUUGCCA